This 312-nucleotide ribosomal RNA is filed under the name uncultured eukaryote. Its description in RNAcentral is "partial 18S ribosomal RNA". It matches the Rfam family "Eukaryotic small subunit ribosomal RNA", at positions 1470 to 1796 of the family's 1831-position model. The record is from RNAcentral.
CCCUUAGAUGUUCUGGGCUGCACGCGCGCUACACUGACGCACACAACGAGUCUCCUAGCUCGAGAGGGCUGGGUAAUCAUUUGAGAGUGCGUCGUGAUGGGGAUAGAAUAUUGUAAUUAUUACUCUUCAACGAGGAAUUCCUAGUAAGCGCGAGUCAGCAGCUCGCGUUGAUUACGUCCCUGCCCUUUGUACACACCGCCCGUCGCACCUACCGAUUGAAUGGUCCGGUGAAGCCUCCGGAUUGGCGCGCACCUCGGUGCCGCCGAGAAGUUGGCUAAACCUUACCAUUUAGAGGAAGGUGAAGUCGUAACA